This 255-nucleotide ribosomal RNA is filed under the name uncultured bacterium. Its description in RNAcentral is "partial 16S ribosomal RNA". It matches the Rfam family "Bacterial small subunit ribosomal RNA", at positions 524 to 776 of the family's 1533-position model. The record is from RNAcentral.
UACGAAGGGGGGCUAGCGUUGCUCGGAAUGACUGGGCGUAAAGGGCGCGUAGGCGGAUUGUACAGUCAGGCGUGAAAUUCCCGGGCUCAACCUGGGGGGCUGCGCUUGAGACGUGCGAUCUUGAGUGGGGAAGAGGGUCGUGGAAUUCCCAGUGUAGAGGUGAAAUUCGUAGAUAUUGGGAAGAACACCGGUGGCGAAGGCGGCGACCUGGUCCUUGACUGACGCUGAGGCGCGAAAGCGUGGGGAGCAAACAGG